UACGAAGGGGGCUAGCGUUGCUCGGAAUCACUUGGCGUAAAGCGCGCGUAGGCGGGUUGUUAAGUCAGGGGUGAAAUCCUGGAGCUCAACUCCAGAACUGCCUUUGAUACUGGCGAUCUUGAGUUCGGGAGAGGUGAGUGGAACUGCGAGUGUAGAGGUGAAAUUCGUAGAUAUCAGGAGGAACACCGGUGGCGAAGGCGGCGACCUGGCCCGAUACUGACGCUGAUGCACGAAAGCGUGGGGAGCAAACAGG
Molecule: ribosomal RNA, 253 nt
Filed under: uncultured bacterium
Lineage: Bacteria
Description: partial 16S ribosomal RNA
Rfam family: Bacterial small subunit ribosomal RNA
Source: RNAcentral